ACGUAGGAGGUGCACGACAGGGGCACCAGGCAGAGUCCUCUACUUCGGAGGUCAAGCUUUGCUGCUGCGUCCCCUCCAUUUGACGUCCCCUUCUAAUUGAUUAAUUAAUCAAUUGACACCAAGCAAACAUGACAGGCUAAUUUCUUGCUGUUCUUGGAUGAUCUCAGGUAGAUGUGCAUUGUUACAUACCUCAACUUGGUCCUGAAGAAAUUUGAUGUAACCGAUGGCCUCCAUGAGUACCGAUGCGGUAUCAGUCUGCAUCUCAUCAUUUUAAAAUCAAAUUCUAUCAAAGGGUGAUUAUAUAAUUACAGAAACUGGUAAUGCAUUCAUUGAUUGUUUGUUACAUACCUUACCAAAGGGUGAGACCAGUUGCUGAAGGGCGGCAAUUCUAUCCCCUAGUUUCUCUUUCCUUACCUAUAAUAAUUAGUUGAAUUAGGAUAUGCAUUACCAUUGUCCAAUGUUCAUGCAGAGCAGAUAAAUGAUCAAACAUCGAUCGGUCAGAUCGAUCUUUGUAUGUGUAUAUACGGACCUUGAAUGAAGGAAGCAUUGAGGAGGAGUGUGACUCGAGCCGGGGCUUCUUUGACGAUGGCGGCAGCGCUGUUGAUGAUCUGUGCUCCGUUGAACUCCCAUGGCGGCCACCUCUCCCUUGAGCUGCUGCAUUCGUAUUCCUCUUCAUCUGCAUGUGUAGGGUGUUGGAUGGUCCUUGAAUUAGAUGAGCAGGAGGGCCAGCAUAGGGGCAGGGCACAUGCUCAUCUCUUAUGCUGCUAUGGCCGACCACUGCAGCAGCAGCAGCCUGCCUCUUGCAACAUAUCUGCAGCGGCUCAUCGCCGGCGGCCAGCUUCUGCAGCCGCGAGACGUUGAUGCUCGGGAGCACAGCGCCGUCCAGAUGUAGAUGCGGCGGAGGAAGAAGCGUGGUGGCGCUGCAUGACCUUGGAUUGCUGAUUAGGGAUUGAUCAGGACGUGGCCGUAGCUCCUCCUCGUUCAUCAUCACAUUACUAUUAUUAUUCGUGGAGCUUGCAAUACUAUGUUGAUCUGCUGGCGCAGCGCAGCUGCUCCAUUGGAACCCUAGCUCCUGCAUCAUUAGCACCGUGCUGAGUUGAUGAGCCUGCAGAUGGGGGCUUAAUGUCGGAGGAGCAGCAGCUGCCAGCUGACUUUCAACUGAUUGGAGUGAUUCAAGCUCAUAUGAGCUUAACUGAUCAGUACUGCUGCUUCUGAUCAAGAGAGAAAUUAAGAAAAUCGAGUCAGAUAUUAAUUACUUAAUUUGUUAUUAUCACUGGUAUCAUCUAUCUACCAGAUUAUUAUGAGAUAUACAGACCUUGAUCAUGCAUGACAAAAGGAACAAAGGUAAUGCGAGCGGAUGGAAGCUUUUUACAUCAAGGAAACCAACAAAUCAAUAAGCCUAGCUAGAUCCAUGCUGCCAAUAUAAUUAAUGCACACAUUGUUUCCUCUGAAGUUGUCAUUUUGUUGUGCUUGCUACAAUUCCCCAGAAUCUCAGAAGGAACAAGGAGGUAGCAGACAAGAAGCCAGAGAAGAAAAUCCAAAUCCUAGGAAUCCCAGCAUUGGAGGCUGGCUCCAUUGGUGGUUCAAUCCAAAGGUGUUGGGAGCAGGAGCAAAGGGCAUGGAAGGCCAUGGGAUCAGGUCAUCUUGCAAGAGAUGAUUAUCACAGAGGCUGGAGGAGGAAGAGGAGGAGGCCAUCA
Molecule: long non-coding RNA, 1697 nt
Organism: Oryza sativa Japonica Group (Japanese rice)
Lineage: Eukaryota; Viridiplantae; Streptophyta; Magnoliopsida; Poales; Poaceae
Source: RefSeq, a predicted model, not a curated record